GACAAAAGGAUAAUGCGGUGGACGUUGACAAACUUGGUCGCACGGUCCAGUGGUUCGACUCCCGUCGAGAUGCCUCGGCUGCACAGAAUUAAUCGUUGCUAUGAUCCCGGAAAGAUAAACUCUGUACAAUGGAGCUUUAACAUGAAAAAAAAUGCUGAUUGAUGACGACAUAUGAUUUCUUCAGAACUUCUGUAAUAGAAAAUUUUUUUUUGAGAAAAAUUCUGUUCCAGCAGUAUGUUAUGAUGGACUUGUUUUUGUGACACUAGUUUUUCCUCGUAAUUCAAUUGAUUUUAUUUGUAUAAUAUGAUACCAAGAGUAAAAAUAAUGGCAAGACAAAGAAAAGGAGUACAAGAAACAAAGAUGCCUCCAGAUCAGUGGGGCCGGUGCCUCCAGCUAAAUAAAUAAGCCCCAAAUGAAUCAGAUACUGUAUCAUCAGCGCGGCCGGUGCAUUGACGGAGUCCGGCGAGACGCGCCUGGUGUGCUCCUACUCGGCGGUUUUCCACGGGUUCGCCGCCCGUCUCACCGAAGCCGAGCUCGCGGCGGUGGCGAAGCUGCCGGGCUUCGUGCGCGCGCUCCCUGACGGCAAGCGGUAGCUCCUCACCACGCGCACGCCGUCGUUCCUCGGGCUCGUCAGGGAUGAGCACGAGUUCUGGAGCGACGCCGGCCCGGCCCUGGGGGGGUGCAGGCGGUGCAGCCGCACCGGGCCACAAAAUCGAAUGGGCCCCCAACACCUAGGGCCUCUGCUGUCCUCAGUCCAGCUGUAUCGCCUAAUCGUCGGGCCUGUAAGCAGGCUGUAAAUUGCAACUGCAUCGCCGCCGCUGGACGAUGGGAGUACGGCACAAGGGCCCCGAGUACACGGCCUCUGAAAUCUCAAGAUCGGGCAAAGUUCGGCGGUGGAGUCAUCAUUGGCAUCUUGGACCCGGGGAUCUCGGCGACGCACGUCUCCUUCGGCAAGGAUGGUGUCCCGAACAAGGACGGAGCCAGAAUUUAAGAUUGGAAGGGACAAAUGGAAUAAGUUUAAGAUUGGAGGGGGCAUGAAUGCUACUCCCUCCGGCCGGAAUUACCUGUCGAAAUAUUACAUGUAUUUAGACGUUUUUUACAUGUAGAUAUAUUUGUAUUGGGGCAAAUCUGAGACAAGUAAUACUGAUAGGAGGGAAUAGUAUUUUUCUAUUUUUUUCUAAAUAUAUCACUACUUUUGCAUUAAAAUAAAAAUUGUUGGGGGGGGGGGGGUGCACGCCCCCCUACACCCCCCUUGUCUCCGUCCCUGGUCUCGGACAGGAGACACCCAGUGCACUCGCAAGCUUUUUGGCUUCAAGUCCUUUGUUGAAGCUGAUUUCGGCGUAGACGGCGACCCAAUAGGCCACGGCAUGCACAUCGCUGGCAUCGCCGCGGGCAACUUCGUCGAAGGUGCGUCGCUCCCGGGCAGAUUGGGCUCCGGCACGGUCGCGGGGAUCGCUCCCCUGGCGCACAUCGCUAUGUACAAAGUACAAACAUCAGAUACCAAUCUGACAGCCGUUUAGAGACGCAUUGUUACAACGUACAUUGCUCUAGUUCUUAUUCUAUCUAGAUCAUGAUGGCCUGCGUUGCCGCGCCCAUCAUUUUUGACAUUGCAAUGACAGAAAGAACAUAAAUCUCCACGGAUGUUGUGGCCUCAGCUAACAUGUUGUAGUGGUAUAGCAAGUGUUAUAGGAAAUAAAAGCACUGCGUAUCGUGAGUUCCCAUCCAAUCAGUUAUCACUUAUCAGAGGCCCUUAUGUGCAGAUACUCCUCUCAUCCCUGAUGCAAUUUCGAUUAUUCUCAAGUACGGUAAGAAAUAAUGUAUGAUGAAAAAAUAUACAUUGGUUAUGCAACAUCUUACGUUUCAUAUCAAUUUUAGGACCACGUCUUGCAUUUUGCACCAGUUUUAUGGCCACGUCUUGUGUUUCGCACCAGGGCCUGGAGCUGGUCAUCCUGGACGUGGCCGGGAAGCGGGCCGUGUUCCGCGGCCCACUGGAGUUGGGGCAGACGUUGGCCGACCAUGGCCGCAGCAAAGGCUUCGUCCAGUUCGUCCAGAGGAGGGAUCUCGAGAAGUCCGGAUGCGUGAUGGAUGGCGAUGGCCGCAGUUUCGAUGUCCGGUGCACGCUCCGCGGACAUCGGGGUGGUCACCAGGUCGCUCAGGCGCAGCCGCCGCCGCGCCAGUACAGGAGUAGCGUGUGCUUCUUUAGACUUUAGUUGUAUACUCAUUGUCUAUUUUUUUUCUGAUUCUCUCCAACCGAUGGAAAUUACUGUCUACGAGUAUCGAGCUACGGAUGGAGAAUAUAUACAGUAGUACGUACGUACAAGAUGGUUUGAUUUUGAA
Brachypodium distachyon (stiff brome) is the source of this 2337-nucleotide RNA transcript. RefSeq lists it as uncharacterized. NCBI's taxonomy places the organism in Eukaryota, Viridiplantae, Streptophyta, Magnoliopsida, Poales, Poaceae. The record is from RefSeq and is a predicted model, not a curated record. The transcript is spliced from 2 exons.